Molecule: long non-coding RNA, 208 nt
Filed under: Lathyrus oleraceus (garden pea)
Lineage: Eukaryota; Viridiplantae; Streptophyta; Magnoliopsida; Fabales; Fabaceae
Description: Pisum sativum (pea) long non-coding RNA (PSAT_LNC000646)
Source: RNAcentral
AAAGAAGUCAUAGAUAAAAGUUAGAAUUUCACGUAUCUUCAAGAAGUUUCUGGCAAGGCAAUUCAAUCACGAAAGUUGGCCGUUGGAUGUAUCAGCGGUGAUGUCGGAAGUUCAACGGUGAUGUCGGAAGUUCAGCGGUGCUUUUGGUUGUUGCUGUAACCGGAGGAAAUAAAAAAAAUAAAAAUCGUGAAUGUUCGUAGGAUCGUUG